UACAGAGGUCCCAAGCGUUGUUCGGAUUCACUGGGCGUAAAGGGUGCGUAGGUGGUGAGGUAAGUCGGAUGUGAAAGCUCGGAGCUCAACUCCGAAAUGGCAUUGGAAACUACCUUGCUCGAGGGAUGGAGGGGGGACUGGAAUUCUCGGUGUAGCAGUGAAAUGCGUAGAUAUCAGGAGGAACACCGAUGGCGAAGGCAGGUCUCUGGGCCACUACUGACGCUGAGAAGCGAAAGCCAGGGGAGCAAACGGG
This 253-nucleotide ribosomal RNA is filed under the name uncultured prokaryote. RNAcentral's name for it is "partial 16S ribosomal RNA". It matches the Rfam family "Bacterial small subunit ribosomal RNA", at positions 524 to 776 of the family's 1533-position model. The record is from RNAcentral.